Molecule: ribosomal RNA, 432 nt
Filed under: uncultured bacterium
Lineage: Bacteria
Description: bacterial SSU rRNA
Rfam family: Bacterial small subunit ribosomal RNA
Source: RNAcentral
UGGGGAAUAUUGGACAAUGGGCGGAAGCCUGAUCCAGCAACGCCGCGUGUGGGAUGAAGCUCUUCGGAGUGUAAACCACUGUUGCCCGGGACGAACAGCUCGAUUAAUCGAGCCUGACGGUACCGGGUGAGGAAGCACCGGCUAACUACGUGCCAGCAGCCGCGGUAAUACGUAGGGUGCGAGCGUUAAUCGGAAUUACUGGGCGUAAAGUGUGCGCAGGCGGCCGCGCAAGUCGAGUGUGAAAGCCCCGAGCUUAACUUGGGAAUGGCGCUCGAAACUACGUGGCUGGAGUGUGGCAGAGGAAGGUGGAAUUCCACGUGUAGCGGUGAAAUGCGUAGAGAUGUGGAGGAACACCAAUGGCGAAGGCAGCCUUCUGGGCCAACACUGACGCUCAUGCACGAAAGCGUGGGGAGCAAACAGGAUUAGAUACCC